This 863-nucleotide unclassified non-coding RNA is filed under the name Lepidophorum repandum. RNAcentral describes it as "partial external transcribed spacer". Lineage: Eukaryota; Viridiplantae; Streptophyta; Magnoliopsida; Asterales; Asteraceae. The record is from RNAcentral.
GGGGCGGUGGGAUUCGUUGCUUCGGAUCUUAGGGUAUUUUCUUUGACCGGUUAGCUCUUUUUCAUUCUUCGAUGGUUACCCCGACUUUCUUGCCAGCUUGUUUAGAUUUNGUAUUCAUGUCGGUCGAGUCUUGNUUUGCUUUGCUUUGAUUGCAGAUUUGCGAUUAAGCCAAAACGUUUACCUGCGAUGUCGGUUGAGCUUUGCUUGGCUUUUGGUUGCAGANUGCGGUUUGGGUUAAGCGUUUACGAGCGANGUUGGUUGAGCUUUGCUUGAUUUGGACAUGUGAAUCUACGUAGGCUAACGUUGUUGACCCGUGUCGGUUUUUCCCCCUCGAAAAUGUUUUAUUAGUGACCGUUUGGUAAAUACUCGCAAGAGAUGAUCCAUCGUUGCUCCGCCGCUUGGUUUCCUGACUUUCGUAUCGUUCGGUGCAUUUUGNGGCUGUUUUGGCUUUUGGUUGCUUGCUUGGCCUUUGAGCAGAGUGGGUGGCUAAUAGUCGGGGUGGCUUCGGGGAUGUUUACCGUAAAGGUGCAUGAGUGGUGUUUGGUUUGUUACGUGUGGUUGGCUGCGGCGUUUGCAACAACUUCCACGCUCUCAUACCUUUUCAGUAGUGCGACAAGGCUUGUAUCGCCUUGAGCGUCAGGUGGGUUUUCUGUGCUUAAUACCUAAUCUACGGUAUCGGUUGGAUAGUUAAAAUGUUGCUUUUCUCCUUGCGNUGCGUUUGCGGCGUGAGGUGAACCUAGUUGCCUUCUCUUUGAUCCACCNUGUUGAAGCGUAAGCUUCGAUAUUGUGGCACAUUGAGCAUUGCUUGGUUUCUUGUAUACGGAACAUAAAGUGGCCAUGGAUCUAACGAUUCUUGUUUUGCC